UUUUUAUUGAGAGUUUGAUCCUGGCUCAGGACGAACGCUGGCGGUAUGCUUAACACAUGCAAGUCGAACGAGACGGGAUGGAAUGACCCUUCGGGGGAAUGAAAUCUUAGAAAGUGGCGAACGGGUGAGUAACGCGUGGGUAACCU
RNAcentral lists this ribosomal RNA (146 nucleotides) under Acetobacterium sp. MES1. RNAcentral describes it as "partial 16S ribosomal RNA". It matches the Rfam family "Bacterial small subunit ribosomal RNA", at positions 1 to 127 of the family's 1533-position model. Lineage: Bacteria; Bacillati; Bacillota; Clostridia; Eubacteriales; Eubacteriaceae. The record is from RNAcentral.